CCUGCAAUCAGCAUUAGGGUUUUAAACCCUAAACUGAACUUUUUUCCAUUCAGCCAGCAUUAGGGUUUUAAACCCUAAACUAAGCUUUUCCAUGCCAUCAUCAUUAGGGUUUUAAACCCUAAACUGAAUUUUUCCUAUAGUCAGCAUUAGGGUUUUAAACCCUAAACUGAACUUUUUUCCAUUCAGUCAGCAUUAGGGUUUUAAAACCUAAACUGAACUUUUUCCUUUAAUCAGCAUUAGGGUUUAAUCCCUAAACUGAACUUUUUUCCAUUUAGCCAGCAUUAGGGUUUUAAACCCUAAACUGAGCUUUUCCAUGCAAUCAGUAUUAGGGUUUUAAACCCUAAACUGAACUCUUUCCUUUCAGUCAGCAUUAGGGUUUUAAACCCUAAGCUGAACUUUUCCUUUAGUCAACAUUAGGGUUUUAAACCCUAAACUGAACUUUUUUCCAUUCAGCCAGCAUUAGGGUUUUAAACCCUAAACUGAGCUUUUCCAUGCAAUCAGCAUUAGGGUUUUAAACCCUAAACUGAGCUUUUCCAUGCAAUCAGCAUUAGGGUUUUAAACCCUAAACUGAGCUUUUCCAUGCAAUCAGCAUUAGGGUUUUAAACCCUAAACUGAACAUUUUCCAUUCAGCCAGCAUUAGGGUUUUAAACCCUAAACUGAACAUUUUUCCAUUCAGCCAGCAUUAGGGUUUUAAACCCUAAACAGAGCUUUUCCAUGCAAUCAGCAUUAGGGUUUUAAACCCUAAACUGAACUUUUUUCCAUUCAGCCAGCAUUAGGGUUUUAAACCCUAAUAUGAGCUUUUCCAUGCAAUCAGCAUUAGGGUUUUAAACCCUAAACUGAACUCUUUCCUUUCAGUUAGCAUUAGGGUUUUAAACCCUAAACUGAACUUUUCCUUUAGUCAGCAUUAGGGUUUUAAACCCUAAACUGAACUUUUCCUUUAGUCAGCAUUAGGGUUUUAAACCCUAAACUGAACUUUUUUCCAUUCAGCCAGCAUUAGGGUUUUAAACCCUAAACUGAACUUUUUUCCAUUCAGCCAGCAUUAGGGUUUUAAACCCUAAACUGAGCUUUUCCAUGCAAUCAGCAUUAGGGUUUUAAAACCUAAACUGAACUUUUUUCCAUUCAGCCAGCAUUAUGGUUUUAAACCCUAACAAAACUUUUUUCCAUUUAGCCAUCAUUAGGGUUUUAAACCCUAAACUGAGCUUUUUCAUGCAAUCAGCAUUAGGGUUUUAAACCCUAAACUGAACUUCUUCCUUUAGUCAGCAUUAGGGUUUUAAACCCUAAACUAAACUUUUUUCCAUUUAGCCAGCAUUAGGGUUUUAAACCCUAAACAGAGCUUUUCCAUGCAAUCAGCAUUAAGGUUUUAUACCCUGAACUGAACUUUUUUCCAUUCAGCCAGCAUUAGGGUUUUAAACCCUAAACUGAGCUUUUCCAUGCAAUCAGCAUUAGGGUUUUAUACCCUGAACUGAACUUUUUUCCAUUCAGCCAGCAUUAGGGUUUUAAACCCGUCA
Molecule: long non-coding RNA, 1508 nt
Filed under: Nicotiana tabacum (common tobacco)
Lineage: Eukaryota; Viridiplantae; Streptophyta; Magnoliopsida; Solanales; Solanaceae
Description: long non-coding RNA (NTAB_LNC007357)
Source: RNAcentral